RNAcentral lists this ribosomal RNA (472 nucleotides) under Bacteroides uniformis. Its description in RNAcentral is "bacterial SSU rRNA". It matches the Rfam family "Bacterial small subunit ribosomal RNA", at positions 52 to 514 of the family's 1533-position model. The record is from RNAcentral. Lineage: Bacteria; Pseudomonadati; Bacteroidota; Bacteroidia; Bacteroidales; Bacteroidaceae.
CACAUGCAAGUCGAGGGGCAGCCUGAACUUACCUUGCUAAGUUUGAUGGCGACCGGCGCACGGGUGAGUAACACGUAUCCAACCUGCCGAUGACUCGGGGAUAGCCUUUCGAAAGAAAGAUUAAUACCCGAUGGCAUAGUUCUUCCGCAUGGUGGAACUAUUAAAGAAUUUCGGUCAUCGAUGGGGAUGCGUUCCAUUAGGUUGUUGGCGGGGUAACGGCCCACCAAGCCUUCGAUGGAUAGGGGUUCUGAGAGGAAGGUCCCCCACAUUGGAACUGAGACACGGUCCAAACUCCUACGGGAGGCAGCAGUGAGGAAUAUUGGUCAAUGGACGAGAGUCUGAACCAGCCAAGUAGCGUGAAGGAUGACUGCCCUAUGGGUUGUAAACUUCUUUUAUACGGGAAUAAAGUGAGGCACGUGUGCCUUUUUGUAUGUACCGUAUGAAUAAGGAUCGGCUAACUCCGUGCCAGCAG